GGACGGGUGAGUAACACGUGGAUAACCUACCUAUAAGACUGGGAUAACUUCGGGAAACCGGAGCUAAUACCGGAUAAUAUUUUGAACCGCAUGGUUCAAAAGUGAAAGACGGUCUUGCUGUCACUUAUAGAUGGAUCCGCGCUGCAUUAGCUAGUUGGUAAGGUAACGGCUUACCAAGGCAACGAUGCAUAGCCGACCUGAGAGGGUGAUCGGCCACACUGGAACUGAGACACGGUCCAGACUCCUACGGGAGGCAGCAGUAGGGAAUCUUCCGCAAUGGGCGAAAGCCUGACGGAGCAACGCCGCGUGAGUGAUGAAGGUCUUCGGAUCGUAAAACUCUGUUAUUAGGGAAGAACAUAUGUGUAAGUAACUGUGCACAUCUUGACGGUACCUAAUCAGAAAGCCACGGCUAACUACGUGCCAGCAGCCGCGGUAAUACGUAGGUGGCAAGCGUUAUCCGGAAUUAUUGGGCGUAAAGCGCGCGUAGGCGGUUUUUUAAGUCUGAUGUGAAAGCCCACGGCUCAACCGUGGAGGGUCAUUGGAAACUGGAAAACUUGAGUGCAGAAGAGGAAAGUGGAAUUCCAUGUGUAGCGGUGAAAUGCGCAGAGAUAUGGAGGAACACCAGUGGCGAAGGCGACUUUCUGGUCUGUAACUGACGCUGAUGUGCGAAAGCGUGGGGAUCAAACAGGAUUAGAUACCCUGGUAGUCCACGCCGUAAACGAUGAGUGCUAAGUGUUAGGGGGUUUCCGCCCCUUAGUGCUGCAGCUAACGCAUUAAGCACUCCGCCUGGGGAGUACGACCGCAAGGUUGAAACUCAAAGGAAUUGACGGGGACCCGCACAAGCGGUGGAGCAUGUGGUUUAAUUCGAAGCAACGCGAAGAACCUUACCAAAUCUUGACAUCCUUUGACAACUCUAGAGAUAGAGCCUUCCCCUUCGGGGGACAAAGUGACAGGUGGUGCAUGGUUGUCGUCAGCUCGUGUCGUGAGAUGUUGGGUUAAGUCCCGCAACGAGCGCAACCCUUAAGCUUAGUUGCCAUCAUUAAGUUGGGCACUCUAAGUUGACUGCCGGUGACAAACCGGAGGAAGGUGGGGAUGACGUCAAAUCAUCAUGCCCCUUAUGAUUUGGGCUACACACGUGCUACAAUGGACAAUACAAAGGGCAGCGAAACCGCGAGGUCAAGCAAAUCCCAUAAAGUUGUUCUCAGUUCGGAUUGUAGUCUGCAACUCGACUACAUGAAGCUGGAAUCGCUAGUAAUCGUAGAUCAGCAUGCUACGGUGAAUACGUUCCCGGGUCUUGUACACACCGCCCGUCACACCACGAGAGUUUGUAACACCCGAAGCCGGUGGAGUAACCUUUUAGGAGCUAGCCGUCGAAGGUGGGACAAAUGAUUGGGGUGAAG
This 1400-nucleotide ribosomal RNA is filed under the name Staphylococcus aureus. RNAcentral describes it as "partial 16S ribosomal RNA". It matches the Rfam family "Bacterial small subunit ribosomal RNA". Lineage: Bacteria; Bacillati; Bacillota; Bacilli; Caryophanales; Staphylococcaceae. The record is from RNAcentral.